Long non-coding RNA from Stegodyphus dumicola, 2555 nucleotides. The record is from RefSeq and is a predicted model, not a curated record. Lineage: Eukaryota; Metazoa; Arthropoda; Arachnida; Araneae; Eresidae.
CCUUGUCAACUUCCUAUUCUGGCCAGCAUGUCGAAGAGAGAAGGUACAUUUUUGGACAGUACAAGCAAUGGCUGUAUUCGAUAGCACUGGGUGCAUUGAAAGCCCAAUAGGCACAAAUGAAAAUAAUCAUUCUUGAAUGCUAAAAUUCAUCGCAACAGAUUCAACAGUAUUUUUAUUUCUCUCCCAUUCAAAAGACUCAAUUGACUCUUCCAUGCAGGAAUGUAAGAUGGAACACAUUCAACAAUCUUAGUUUCCUGAACUAGAUAUGUGUACUUCAAAGCGUACUUAGCGAUGCUACCACUGGUGGUGCAAGUACAUGACUUACGUUAGGUAUUUAAAGUGAAAUGAACUUAAAUUUUUCAUCAACUUCUGCAGUGGUAUGCAUUUUUUUAUCUUCUUUCAGAACUUUCCUUGAAGGGAUUUAAAAUGAACGAAAUAUCAUCACAGUUCAAAUCCAUCAAUGGAUGAUGAAAAGCAUCUUCAAAUGGGCCGUCUUUUUAAAAAAUAAAUAUUAAUAAUUUUUUUACACUUUUUGUGACACAUUUGCCUAUUUUCUAGUGUUUUGAGUUGAUCACUUUUCACGUCUUCUGGUAACUUUUAACUUAUUUAAGUUGGAAAAUUGGUCACCAUAUUCUGUCGCUAUUCUAAAGCUCUCAGUCUACUCGAUUAAGCUGAAAAGUGACAGAAUCAGUAAAAACGUUUCAGGUGUUUCAGAACCAAUCUCUACAAAUUUAUCCACAUUGUUUAAAACAUUUGUUAAAUAUUCUUACAUCAUCUAGUUAGCAUAUUUCAUUUUAGAAAUUAACUGCUCUUUGAGAAUAACUUUUGUUAUUGGAUUUUUGGUUAAUGUACCUUACGUAAUUUAUUCAAGUUUUGUCUGAAGAUUUUCAUAUUUUAAGUGCAGUACCUGUGAUAGUUUUAUUCUGAUAGCAAUUGUUGCUGAAGCUGUUUGAUCUUUUUGAAUUCAUUUAUCAAUUUCUAGUCUAUUAUGUUCAGUAAUUUGAGUUUUUACCGACUGUCCACUAUCGACUUCCAAAGAUCGAUCUGAAAUAAAAUCACUUUUCCUUGAAAAUGUUGUGUUUAGAUAUUAGUUUUAUUCAGUCUUUCGAUUUGUAAGUUAGGAUUCAUUUUGCUAUGCCUAAAGUUUCUUAUUCUUAAGCUUCCUUCUCCUAAGCUUGCGUGCUCCUAAGCCAAAUUUUUGUUACUCCUAAGCUUUCAGUGAAGCUAAGAAAUUAUUAAUUUUGCCUGCCUUGCUUUUCCCUAAAGAUAUUCACUUACCUUGGAACGGGACCUCUUUUUGUACUGUUAGCCCUUAACUCUGUUAGAGAAAAAUAAAACGGGCUGUCUAUGACUUUACACAACCCAUAAAAUAAGAGUGUAGAGGCAGGUAUAUGAGGUUAAUGAGCAUAAGUAGUUAUUGGCUUCAUUACUUAAGUCAAUCAUUGGUGCUUGAACUUUGUAAAAAUCUUUGUUUUUUUGCACAGGAACUUGGCAACAAUGCUGCCAUUCCGCUUCCUCCGCUUCCUCCUGUUUAUAAAGGGUGCAGUAACCAGACAUAUUUUAGCACCCAGACGAUCUGGUAGCUAGGGCUAAUCAGCACAGAAGCCUUACAUUCAUUAUGGGUUAUCACAUCAAAAGACGCUUGAGGUUAGAAGAAACUUUUCCGAGAAUCGAGCUUGUCUUGUCUCCUACCAAAGCAGAAUUCUUAACCGAAACAUGUUCCAAUGGAGCUUAUGUCCAAGCUAGCUAAACAAAACUUUUGAAACUAAACUGAAAAUUUCUCUUGAAGCUUUGUCCUUCAUACUAUUUCUCCAAAGAAAUGGUUUUCGCAUAAGUCAAACAAUCAGAUAUCCCGAAAACAAAAUUCUGGGAAACGUUUCUUUCGCCAUUGCUGUUGAGGGUAUCUUGUAAAUGUGAUUCCAGUUUUACAGGAACCGAAUACAUUGAAGUGUAGAGCAAGGACGUCGUACGCACCAUAGAAUCAGGAAGAAGAGCAAGGACAUAUUUAGCUCACUGGUACUCCUGUUUAUAUAGUAGAGCUUCGUGACAACAUUUUUCAGCGCCGCAGCAAAUAGUAAUGCAAGUUUAUAACAUACGCUAAUAUAAAUAUGAUAUUUUAGCGUAAAAUGAUACAUGUUUCUAAAGAAAAAAACAGUGAAAGUAGGUUGAUAUCUUAGGAAUAUUAUCAAGAAUAUGCAAAAGAUCUCCCUGACCACUUCUCAAAAAUACUGUUCGAAUGAUAAACUAGCAGGCUAUUGAGAUUGUGCAUUAUCCAGUAGGUUCAAGGGGUAGUAAUGUCGCCUCACAAUCAAUGAAGUCAGAAGUGUUCCUAUUACAUACGUUCCAAAGCAGCACUGAAGUCCGGGUGGCGGGCAAAGCUUGCAGUGAAGGAGAGUGAGCGAGAGGCCGCCAAAUAUAUCACCUGUUUGAAACACUGAGUGACCUGCAUUUCACAAUGUGGUAAGUAGCUGUUACGAGGAGCAUAAAGUUGGAGGAAAAACCCUGUGUAACCUAGAAUCUUCUGGAAGAAAUAAAAGGAUUACAGUUCAUCUCAA